UUUCCGUACCGUUACUGACGCUCAUGCACGAAGGUGCGGGUAUCAAACAGGAUUAGAUACCCUGGUAGUCCGCACAGUAAACGAUGGAUGCUCGCGGUUCGGCCAUUAUGGUUGUGCCGCUUAGCGAAAGCGUUAAGCAUCCCACCUGGGGAGUACGCCGGCAACGGUGAAACUCAAAGGAAUUGACGGGGGCCCGCACAAGCGGAGGAACAUGUGGUUUAAUUCGAUGAUACGCGAGGAACCUUACCCGGGCUUGAAAUGUACCUGACGGGAGGCAGAGACGCCUUCUUUCUUCGGACAGGUAUGUAGGUGCUGCAUGGUUGUCGUCAGCUCGUGCCGUGAGGUGUCGGCUUAAGUGCCAUAACGAGCGCAACCCUUCCCGCCGGUUACCAUCAUUAGGUUGGGGACUCCGGCGGCACUGCCACCGCAAGGUGUGAGGAAGGCGGGGAUGACGUCAAAUCAGCACGGCCCUUACGUCCGGGGCCACACACGUGUUACAAUGGGGGGCACAGAAAGCUGGAUGCCGGCGACGGCAUUCGAAUCAUCAAAUCCCCUCCCAGUUCGGACUGGAGUCUGCAACCCGACUCCACGAAGCUGGAU
This 600-nucleotide ribosomal RNA is filed under the name uncultured bacterium. RNAcentral's name for it is "bacterial SSU rRNA". It matches the Rfam family "Bacterial small subunit ribosomal RNA", at positions 726 to 1331 of the family's 1533-position model. The record is from RNAcentral.